RNAcentral lists this transfer RNA (85 nucleotides) under Felis catus (domestic cat). It matches the Rfam family "tRNA". From Rfam's summary of the family: Transfer RNA (tRNA) molecules are approximately 80 nucleotides in length. Their secondary structure includes four short double-helical elements and three loops (D, anti-codon, and T loops). Lineage: Eukaryota; Metazoa; Chordata; Mammalia; Carnivora; Felidae. The record is from Rfam by way of RNAcentral.
GCCUGGGUGGCUCAGUUGGUUAAGCAUCUGACUUCAGCUCAGGUCAUGAUCUCACAGUUUGUGAGUUCGAGACCCGCGUCAGGCU